This is an RNA transcript of Pteropus alecto (black flying fox), 3967 nucleotides long. It is a transcript of the gene named sorting nexin 14, with no coding region annotated. Lineage: Eukaryota; Metazoa; Chordata; Mammalia; Chiroptera; Pteropodidae. The transcript has 30 exons. The record is from RefSeq and is a predicted model, not a curated record.
CACCCAGCGAACAGUCCGCCGGUGGGCGGCUGUGUGAGUCGGCCGGCGGGCCGGCAGGCCGGCGGCGCGGAGACGCGGGAAGUUAAUGGGGGUCGCCUCGAUCUCAGCCUCAGUCGGUAGCACAGCUUCGGACACGCCAGCAGAGAUGGCGCCCUGGGUGCGGACGAUGGGGGAGAAGCUGAAGCAGAGGCUGAGGCUAGACGUGGGACGCGAGAUCUGCCGCCAGUACCCACUGUUCUGCUUCCUGCUGCUCUGCCUUAGCGCCGCCUCCUUGCUCCUCAACAGGUAUCUUCAUGUUUUAAUGAUCUUCUGGUCAUUUGUUGCUGGAGUUGUCACAUUCUACUGCUCAUUAGGACCUGAUUCUCUCUUACCAAAUAUAUUCUUCACAAUAAAAUACAAACCCAAGCAGUUAGGACUUCAAGAAUUAUUUCCUCAAGGUCGUAGCUGUGCUGUUUGUGGUAAAGUGAAAUGUAAACGACAUAGGCCUUCCUUGCUACUUGAAAACUACCAGCCAUGGCUAGACCUGAAAAUUUCUUCCAAGGUCGAUGCUUCUCUCUCAGAGGUUCUUGAAUUAGUGUUGGAAAACUUUGUUUAUCCGUGGUACAGGGAUGUAACAGAUGAUGAGUCCUUUGUUGAUGAACUGAGGAUUACAUUACGGUUUUUUGCAUCUGUUCUAAUUCGAAGGAUUCACAAGGUGGAUAUUCCAUCUAUUAUAACCAAGAAACUAUUAAAAGCAGCAAUGAAGCAUAUAGAAGUGAUAGUUAAAGCCAGUCAGAAAGUUGAAAAUACAGAGUUUUUACAGCAAGCUGCUUUAGAAGAAUAUGGUCCAGAGCUUCAUGUGGCCUUGAGGAGUCGAAGAGAUGAAUUACACUAUUUAAGGAAACUUACCGAACUACUUUUUCCUUACGUUUUGCCUCCUAAAGCAACAGAUUGCAGAUCCCUGACCUUACUUUUGAGAGAGAUCCUCUCUGGUUCGGUGUUCCUUCCUUCUUUGGAUUUCCUAGCUGAUCCAGAUACUGUGAAUCAUUUGCUUAUCAUCUUCAUAGUUGACAGUCCACCUGAAAAAGCAACCGAACCGCCUUCCCCUUUGGUUCCAUUCUUGCAGAAAUUUGCAGAACCUAGAAAUAAAAAGCCAUCUGUGCUGAAGUUGGAAUUGAAGCAAAUCAGAGAGCAACAAGAUCUCUUAUUUCGUUUUAUGAACUUUCUGAAACAAGAAGGAGCAGUACACGUGUUGCAAAUUUGUCUGACUGUGGAGGAAUUCAAUGAUAGAAUUUUGAGACCAGAGUUAUCAAACGAUGAAAUGCUAUCUCUUCAUGAGGAGUUGCAGAAGAUUUAUAAAACAUACUGUUUGGAUGAAAGUGUUGACAAAAUUCGAUUUGAUCCCUUCAUUGUAGAAGAGAUUCAAAAAAUUGCUGAAGGCCCAUAUAUAGAUGUUGUGAAACUUCAAACUAUGAGAUGUCUUUUCGAAGCAUAUGAACAUGUACUUUCUCUGUUGGAGAAUGUGUUUACUCCUAUGUUCUGCCACAGUGAUGAGUAUUUCAGACAACUUUUAAGAGGCGCAGAAUCACCAACACGCAAUUCAAAAUUCAACAGAGGUAGCCAAAGUUUGGAUGAUUUUCGGAGCACACAGAAAAGAGGAGAAUCAUUUGGAAUCAGCAGAAUAGGUAGCAAAAUUAAAGGAGUGUUCAAGAGCACCACCAUGGAGGGAGCUAUGUUGCCUAAUUAUGGUUUAGCUGAAAGUGAAGAUGACUUUAUUGAAGAAGGUAUUGUUGUAAUGGAAGAUGAUUCUCCAGUGGAAGCUGUGAGCACACCUAAUACUCCCCGAAACCUUGCUGCAUGGAAAAUUAGCAUUCCAUAUGUAGAUUUUUUUGAAGAUCCCUCCUCUGAAAGGAGGGAGAAAAAGGAGAGAAUACCUGUGUUUUGUAUUGAUGUUGAAAGGAAUGAUAGAAGAGCAGUUGGGCAUGAGCCUGAACAUUGGUCUGUUUAUAGAAGAUAUCUUGAAUUCUAUGUACUUGAAUCAAAACUAACAGAAUUUCAUGGCACAUUUCCUGAUGCCCAGCUUCCUUCCAAGAGAAUCAUUGGCCCCAAAAAUUAUGAAUUCUUAAAGUCGAAGAGAGAAGAAUUUCAAGAAUAUCUACAGAAACUUCUACAGCAUCCAGAACUGAGUAAUAGUCAACUUCUGGCAGAUUUUCUCUCCCCCAAUGGUGGAGAAACACAGUUUUUGGAUAAGAUACUACCAGAUGUAAACCUUGGAAAAAUUAUAAAGUCUGUUCCUGGAAAACUAAUGAAAGAGAAAGGUCAGCAUUUGGAACCUUUCAUCAUGAAUUUCAUUAAUUCUUGUGAAUCUCCAAAGCCUAAACCAAGUAAACCAGAACUGACAAUUCUCAGCCCUACUUCAGAAAACAACAAGAAGCUAUUCAAUGAUCUGUUUAAGAAUAAUGCAAACCGUGCUGAGAAUACAGAAAGAAAGCAAAAUCAGAAUUAUUUUAUGGAGAUGAUGACUGUAGAAGGAGUUUAUGAUUACCUGAUGUAUGUAGGACGAGUGGUUUUCCAAGUUCCUGACUGGCUUCAUCAUCUCCUAAUGGGAACUCGAAUACUCUUUAAAAACACCUUAGAAAUGUAUACUGACUACUAUCUUCACUGUAAACUAGAACAGCUAUUUCAGGAGCACCGUUUGGUCUCACUUAUAACACUUUUCAGAGAUGCUGUAUUCUGUGAAAAUAGUGAACCUCGCUCUCUCCAAGAUAAGCAAAAACGAGCAAAACAGACUUUUGAAGAAAUGAUGAAUUACCUUCCAGACCUGAUCGUCAAGUGUAUUGGUGAAGAAGCCAAGUAUGAAAGCAUCAGACUUCUAUUUGAUGGCUUACAGCAGCCAGUUCUCAACAAGCAGCUGACUUAUGUUUUAUUGGACAUUGUGAUACAAGAACUGUUUCCAGAGCUGAAUAAGAUGAAAUAACUACUCUUCAAGGUUGUGGUAUAGCAAUGUCAGUUUCAUAGAGUAGAAGAAUCCAGGUACAAAAGGAAGUUACCUCUGUGACAUCCUGGAUGUAAACAUUUGGAUUUGGGAUAGAAUAACCAGUUGAAAUUUCUUCUGUGUUAGUGUAAUAGAUACUGUUUUUUUCUUUUAACUUUUGUAUAUUCUUGUAUAUAUCAUGUAAUUCAGUGUCUGAAAUUUUGAUUUUUUUUGUCUUAAUAAAGACUAACAUACUUGAUAAUGAUUAAAAGUGAUUGGGUUUCAUAGCCUUUCAUUUUACACCUGUUAUUCAAAUUUUAUUAGAACAUAUAUUACUUGUUAUUGUCAUUUUUUAAAGAGAUAAUUUAUAAUCCCCUUAGAGCAAACAGAUAAGACUGAUAACCUUUUUUAUUGUAUCACCUUGAAAAUAAUUAUGCAAGGUCUGAUUUGCUUUCUCAUUUAGAAUUCAUACAUUUUAGUAGAUCUAUUUUCCCGUUUUCCUUUGUUUUCUACAUAGCUAACUGUGUGUCUAUAAAGAAGACAUCCUUUAUGAGUUUUUGAGAACAAAGGACUUCUUACUCUUGCUGGAUUAUUGACGGGUUAUAGCCCUCAGGUGUGAAAACUGAGUAUUUACAAAUAUUUGUGAUUGUGUGGUUACAGCUACAUUUUACUGAAUGUAUGUAAUUAUAUUUCAAAAGCUUUUAUAAGCAAUUUAGUCAAGUAGAUUUUUGGUUUAUGUUAUCAGUUGUCUCUCCAAAAGAAAAAUAUGGAAUUAAUAGUAUCUCUUAAAAAAAGUUAAUUUAAAUGAUUAUUUUUCAAGAUUCAGUGUUUGGAAUUCUACUUACAAUUCCUUACCAUUUUAUGCUUUUCUUCUUGAAAAAAAUUUGUCUUUCAUGAUUGAGCAUUUGUGUUUGGUUAUUUGUUGUACUGUUCAUUCAGAAUAUAUUUUUUGAGUUUCGGCCAUGUAUUAGGCACUCUAAAUUGUGGGCACUCUAAAUAUAAUUUGGAAAACUA